Nycticebus coucang (slow loris) is the source of this 3145-nucleotide RNA transcript. It is a transcript of the gene named synaptotagmin 6, with no coding region annotated. Lineage: Eukaryota; Metazoa; Chordata; Mammalia; Primates; Lorisidae. The transcript is spliced from 8 exons. The record is from RefSeq and is a predicted model, not a curated record.
AUUGCAUGUCCAUGGGCCGGCUGGCGCGUCUGGAGCAGAUGGCGCGCAGUGGAGACCGCCAGGAGCUGGGGCUCCGAAUCUCCUCCCUCCGGAAAGUGAGUCACUGCCCGAGCCACUUCUAAUUAACGUUUUAAUUAGGAGGAAAGACCCUUCUCUCCCACCAGUCACCAGGCAGACGACAGUCCCGCGGUUUCCGGAGUCUCCAGCUAAAGUUUCCUUCGCAGCUUCAGGAAGCAAAAGGAGCUGAGUCUGGAGCUUUGGGUGAGCCCCCCCACCGCCGACAGGUGGAGGACAGGAGGCUGUGACAGGUCCCUUGCAGGGCCCAGAUUCCCUGACCGUCCUGAAGACGGCCCAUACAUUUCCAGAACAGAGUGGGGCACGUCGUAGCCCCUCACCCAAUCUGUUCCUGAACCUCGCUCCACAGUUUUGGGGCGGUCACUCUACUUUAAGUCUAGCCUCAAUCCUCCAGUUUAGUUUUCUGCCUUUUCGCCCCUAGUUAUGCUACGUAGAUACAUUAUGUCUUUGCACCAAAGCGGGGAGGUGGGUCGGUGGCAACUGAGCGACGUCUUGAAAUGCCCCCCAUUCCUAUUCGCCAGAAACUUUCCCCUCCGGUUGCCAUGGAGAGAGACAGCCGCUGCCUCUUGUCGCCAUAGCAACGUGCGGGACCGCGGACCGCAGGAUUGCGGGGCUCAGAAAGUCUUCUCGCAGUUCGCAUCGCCCCGCUGUCUUGGGGUCUUCUACCUCCGAAGGUGGGACUUAGGGCAAGUGUGACUAACUUCUCCCAUCAGGAACCUCAGCCAAGGGCCUCCCACCUGCAGCCCGGUCACCCCUCUUUCCACUACGGGGUUAUCUAUUUCGCUGCCACUCUGUGGCAUGUAGCAGUUCACUGUGUGUUUUACAAACACUGUCUUUACAUCCCCAGGGAGCCCGUAAAACACUCAAAAUCAUCAUACUUCUUUUACCCAUUGGAAAACUGAGGCUCAGAGAGGCCCAAGGUCACACACACCAGGCAGUGACCACGGAGCAGGAAGCAGGGCUCUCUCCCGGCCUGGCACCCUCCGACAUUCGGGACCACCGGGCUCUGUCGCCGCGAACCGCCCGGGCCCAGGCCGGUCCCCGGGUGUAGAGGGGGCGGCCGCGAGGCGCCAGACUUGUCAGCUGCCGCGGGAUGCCACGUGAGGGGCGGGGACCCUGCGGGGAAGUGAUUAAAAGCAGAACAGAGCCGCAGGGGGCCGCUGCGGGAGGGUCUUCUCGGCCGCCUCGCCCCGCCCAGCCCCGCCGCGGAGCGGGUUCCAGUGGCUGCUCCGCAGGCCUGGUGUCUGGGGCAUGAGCGAGGUGUGGGGGGACGGGGGGCCCCGGUGCCAGGCGGCGCUCGCGGUCCUUGCCUCGCUGUGCCGGGGCCGGCCGCCCCCUCUCGGGCUGGACGUGGAGACUUGUCGGAGCUUCGAGCUGCAGCCCCCCGAGCGCAGUCCCAGCGCCGCCGACUCAGCUGUGCUGGAUGCCCUGGAGGAACAAGGAGGCCUCCAGUCCCUCCUCCGCUAACCCCACCUUGGAGGCCCUCCAGAGCCCCAGCUCCAGAGGCACCAUGGCAGACAAGCUGAAGGACCCAAGUGGCCUGGGCUUCCUGGAGGCGGCUGUGAAGAUCAGCCACACGUCCCCAGACAUCCCAGCCGAGGUGCAGAUGUCAGUGAAGGAGCACAUCAUGCGUCACACGCGGCUGCAGCGACAAACCACAGAGCCAGCGUCAUCCACCAGGCACACAUCCUUCAAGCGCCACCUGCCUCGGCAGAUGCAUGUCUCCAGCGUAGACUACGGCAAUGAGCUGCCGCCGGCAGCAGAGCAGCCCACCAGCAUUGGCCGCAUCAAGCCCGAGCUGUACAAGCAGAAGUCAGUGGACGGGGACGACGCCAAGUCCGAGGCCACCAAGAGCUGCGGGAAGAUUAACUUCAGCCUGCGUUACGACUAUGAGAGCGAGACCCUGAUCGUGCGCAUCCUGAAGGCCUUCGACCUCCCUGCCAAGGACUUCUGCGGAAGCUCUGACCCUUACGUCAAGAUCUACCUCCUGCCCGACCGCAAAUGCAAGCUGCAGACCCGGGUGCACCGCAAGACCCUGAACCCCACCUUUGACGAGAACUUCCACUUCCCCGUGCCCUAUGAGGAGCUGGCUGACCGCAAGCUGCACCUCAGCGUCUUCGACUUCGACCGCUUCUCCCGCCACGACAUGAUCGGUGAGGUCAUCCUGGACAACCUCUUUGAGGCUUCUGACCUGUCCCGGGAGACUUCCAUCUGGAAGGACAUCCAGUAUGCCACGAGUGAAAGCGUGGACUUGGGUGAGAUCAUGUUCUCCCUCUGCUACCUGCCCACAGCAGGCAGGCUCACCCUCACGGUGAUCAAAUGUCGGAACCUCAAGGCGAUGGACAUCACAGGCUACUCAGAUCCAUAUGUCAAAGUGUCCCUGCUUUGUGAUGGGCGGAGGCUGAAGAAGAAGAAAACAACCAUCAAGAAGAACACUCUCAAUCCUGUCUACAACGAGGCCAUCAUCUUUGACAUCCCCCCGGAGAACAUGGACCAAGUCAGCCUGCUCAUCUCGGUGAUGGAUUAUGACCGAGUGGGCCACAAUGAGAUCAUAGGAGUCUGCCGUGUGGGAAUCAAUGCUGAAGGCCUGGGCAGGGACCACUGGAACGAGAUGCUGGCGUACCCUCGGAAGCCCAUUGCACACUGGCACUCCUUGGUGGAGGUAAAGAAAUCCUUCAAAGAGGGAAACCCUCGGUUGUGAUUUCAUCCACGUGGAUGCUGCAAGCAGAGAGACUGCCCCCCGGAGUUAGGAUGGCAGGGCCGAGCUGCCAGCUUCGACAGUGAGAGCUCCUGUCCGUCUCCAAAACCACCUCCGACACCAUGAGCUGCACAGCCGAGUGACACAAACGGGACUCAGCGAUGUUCUUUUUACACUUGUUCAAUCAUCUAAAUGCAGUGUCGCGCAGUGGCAGUGGCAGCAGCAGCUGCCUGUCACUCCAGAGUCUUACCUACUCCUGUGUAGGUCAAGGCUGAGACACUUGUCUGUGGUCAGAUCUGUCUUAUUCUUUUCUGUCUCCCAAGGUGAUGUUUUUGUGGUUUUCACUCUUUAUGGGUCCUCUGUCAAGAAAAG